ACGGGUGCGUAACACGUGGGAAUAUACCUUUCGGUACGGAACAACUGAGGGAAACUUCAGCUAAUACCGUAUACGUCCUAACGGAGAAAGAUUUAUCGCCGAAGGAUUAGCCCGCGUUCGAUUAGCUAGUUGGUGAGGUAAUGGCUCACCAAGGCAACGAUCGAUAGCUGUUCUGAGAGGAAGAUCACCCACACUGGGACUGAGACACGGCCCACACUCCUACGGGAGGCAGCAGUUGGGAAUCUUGGACAAUGGGGGAAACCCUGAUCCAGCCAUGCCGCGUGAGUGAUGAAGGCCUUCGGGUUGUAAAACUCUUUCGACGGGGACGAUAAUGACGGUACCCGUAAAACAAGCUCCGGCUAACUUCCUGCCACCAGCCGCGGUAAUACGAAGGGGGCUAGCGUUGUUCGGAAUUACUGGGCGUAAAGCGCGCGCAGGCGGUUCUCCAAGUCAGUGGUGAAAGCCCGGAGCUCAACUCCGGAACUGCCAUUGAAACUGUUGAACUUGAGGACGAGAGAGGUGAGUGGAAUUCCCAGUGUAUAGGUGAAAUUCAUAUA
This 557-nucleotide ribosomal RNA is filed under the name uncultured Alphaproteobacteria bacterium. RNAcentral describes it as "bacterial SSU rRNA". It matches the Rfam family "Bacterial small subunit ribosomal RNA", at positions 102 to 694 of the family's 1533-position model. The record is from RNAcentral. Lineage: Bacteria; Pseudomonadati; Pseudomonadota; Alphaproteobacteria.